GACUGAAACUCAAAGGAAUUGACGGGGGCCCGCACAAGCGGUGGAGCAUGUGGUUUAAUUGGAAGCAACGCGAAGAACCUUACCAGGUCUUGACAUCUUCUGACAAUCCUAGAGAUAGGACGUCCCCUUCGGGGGCAGAGUGACAGGUGGUGCAUGGUUGUCGUCAGCUCGUGUCGUGAGAUGUUGGGUUAAGUCCCGCAACGAGCGCAACCCUUGAUUUUAGUUGCCAGCAUUCAGUUGGGCACUUUAAGGUGACUGCCGGUGACAAACCGGAGGAAGGUGGGGAGGACGUCAAAUCAUCAUGCCCCUUAUGACCUGGGCUACACACGUGCUACAAUGGACAGAACAAAGGGCAGGGAAACCGGGAGGUUAAGCCAAUCCCACAAAUCUGUUCUCAGUUCGGAUCGCAGUCUGCAACUCGACUGCGUGAAGCUGGAAUCGCUAGUAAUCGCGGAUCAGCAUGCCGCGGUGAAUACGUUCCCGGGCCUUGUACACACCGCCCGUCAC
This 507-nucleotide ribosomal RNA is filed under the name Bacillus sp. MAL 31. RNAcentral describes it as "bacterial SSU rRNA". It matches the Rfam family "Bacterial small subunit ribosomal RNA", at positions 892 to 1400 of the family's 1533-position model. The record is from RNAcentral. Lineage: Bacteria; Bacillati; Bacillota; Bacilli; Caryophanales; Bacillaceae.